UCGAACGGAGACUGUUUAGCAAUAAGCAGUCUUAGUGGCGAACGGGUGGGUAACGCGUUGGUGACCUGCCCCAAAGUGUGGGAUAACAGUUCGAAAGGACUGCUAAUACCGCAUGUGGUCUUUAGGAUUAGAUGCCUGAUGACUAAAGAAGCAAUUCGCUUUGGGAGGGACCUGCGUCCCAUCAGCUAGUUGGUAAGGUAACGGCCUACCAAGGCUUUGACGGGUAGGGGACCUGAGAGGGUGACCCCCCACAAUGGAACUGAAACACGGUCCAUACACCUACGGGUGGCAGCAGUAGGGAAUAUUGCAUAAUGGGCGAAAGCCUGAUGCAGCAACGCCGCGUGCGCGAUGAAGGCCUUCGGGUCGUAAAGCGCUUUUCGAGAGGAUGAGGAAGGACAGUACUCUCGGAAUAAGUCUCGGCUAACUACGUGCCAGCAGCCGCGGUAAAACGUAGGAGGCAAGCGUUAUCCGGAUUUACUGGGCGUAAAGCGCGUGUAGGCGGUCUGGAAAGUUGGAUGUGAAAGCUCCUGGCUCAACUGGGAGAGGUCGUUCAAUACUUCCAGACUAGAGUAUGGUAGAGGGAGGUGGAAUUCC
Molecule: ribosomal RNA, 594 nt
Filed under: uncultured bacterium
Lineage: Bacteria
Description: bacterial SSU rRNA
Rfam family: Bacterial small subunit ribosomal RNA
Source: RNAcentral